CCUACGGGAGGCAGCAGUGGGGAAUAUUGCUCAAUGGGCGAAAGCCUGACGCAGCGACGCCGCGUGAGGGAUGAAUGUCUUCGGAUCGUAAACCUCUUUCAGCAGAGAAGAACGGUCACUGUGCUAAUCAGCAGUGAAUUCACGGUACCUGCACAGGAAGCACCGGCUAACUCCGUGCCCGCAGCAGCGGUAAUACGGAGGGUGCGCGCGUUAAUCGGAAUUACUGGGCGUAAAGCGCUCGUAGGCGGUAGGUCAAGUCAAGGGGGAAAUCCCCGCGCGCAACGUGGGAACUGCCUUUGAAACUGGCAAACUGGAGUGUGUGAGAGGAUAGUGGAAUUCCAGGUGUAGGAGUGAAAUCCGUAGAUAUCUGGCGGAACAUCAGUGGCGAAGGCGACUAUCUGGCACAUAACUGACGCGGAGGAGCGAAAGCGUGGGUAGCAAACAGGAUUAGAUACCCCAGUAGUC
RNAcentral lists this ribosomal RNA (465 nucleotides) under uncultured bacterium. RNAcentral's name for it is "partial 16S ribosomal RNA". It matches the Rfam family "Bacterial small subunit ribosomal RNA", at positions 338 to 795 of the family's 1533-position model. The record is from RNAcentral.